This 2047-nucleotide long non-coding RNA is filed under the name Marmota monax (woodchuck). Lineage: Eukaryota; Metazoa; Chordata; Mammalia; Rodentia; Sciuridae. The record is from RNAcentral.
AUUCCAUUAGCUUUAUUUUGACUGAAUUCAACAUGGGGUGACAAAAACAAAUGUUACCACUAAAAUUGAGUAUUACAUGCAGACACUGAUCUUUGCACUCCUUGUAUUUGUUUUCUACUUUAAUCCACAUUAAUGUAAAAUACAUGGUGUCUUACUAAAAAUUUCCAUAUAAAUCAAGAUUUAAUAAAUUCCCUUUAAAAGGUUUAUUCUUUUAUUAUUGAGAAUUUUAUAUAGUCUAUAUUGACAGUUUCUUUGAACAGAUGUUUACAGGAUUAAAUUUUUUCACAAAGGGCAGGCAAAUAAAACUUAAUGUAAAACCUGUGUUUUCCAGAAGCUACUUUCAUUCUCUUCAGGGUGUUUAGUUCUAGAUGGUUCUUCCAGUUUCAUAAGAUAGUGAAGAGUGGUCAAUAGUCGACUUUAUUUAACUUCUAGAAUUCACUUUCAGGGAAUGAGUGGGAUGCCAGGGGAGAGUGAAAGAUUCAGGUUCUGGGGAGACUGAGGGAUCAUAAAUGUUACGGGGUAAGGGCAAAUCGAGGGGAAAAAAUAAAAACAUGCUCCUGCAGGUCAGUGAGAAGCUAAAAUGGGAGUUACAAUGAAGGAGUAGGGCAAUGUGAUUAGGUUGCUACACUUUCUGAAGAAAGUAAUUACAAAUAGAAAUCAAAUAACAAUUCAUAGUGACAUUUAAGUGACCAAUCACUAACAGUUGUGGCAGACAAAAGAAAGAUGACAUUAUACCUUAUCCCUGAUUCAUUCAUUUUAAUAGGCUGGUAUGUGACACUACUGUGGGUGAAAUCAUAAUGAAAUCGUUCUGUGCUAAGGUGAUCAGCUUCCAUGGGGUGCUUUCUUUAUACUCUGUCCAAUGGUAUAAACUCCAGUGAUUUAUGCCUCCUGGAAGUUUUUCAGCAAUAUUAAAGGUAAAGCACUGAUGAGACAGCCAGUGGAGAACAUGUUUCCAGGUAGCCUGAAACCCAGCAGACAAUGUAGCUGUUGCCAAAUAAACACAGAAAUCUACAUUGUAUGCCAGGUUCAUGCCACAGACCUGGAUAUUCAGCCCAGGAGUUUUCCACAUGAACUGUUUCAAAAGAAUUGCCUGCUGCAUUCAAGAUGUCAAAAUUGUUAUGUGUUCUCUACCACAAGGAAAAAAGGCAACCAUAAGGAAAAAAGGCAACCUCAAGUCAGAAGUUUGGGGACUCAGUACAAAUGAAAUUACCUGAAAAUAUCAUAUCAAGUUGUCAUUAUUUAAUCAUCCUGUUAUUUUGAAAACACCCUUUAAAAGUAAAGAGAUGUGUACAUAGAUGAAUGUAUGGAUGGUCAGGUAGGCAGGUAUAUGAGUGGGUGGAUGGGUAGAUGGUAUCUAAUGCAGACUGUAAGAAUAUCCAGAUUCUACCGACUUCUGAUAUCAAAAGCAAAUAAAUAUACUUCAUCAUUCAGACAGCCAGUUUCCUAAACCCAGCUAAUAAUGGAAGUCUUAUACCUCAAAAGUCUGUGUGUAUGUGUGUGUGUACAUGUAUAACUCAAUAUAAAGCCUUCAUUAUUAAAGACUGCCCAAAUGAUCUUGCUCACGGCACUGUAACAGAAGCCAAAUGAUGCCGUCAGAGACCCAGUAGCCAGAUGUAGCUGCUGAUUACAAAAGACAGGAUCUACACUGGCUACUGAGCCAUUGAGGGCAUCUACAACUUGCAGCAACUGGACGAUCUACAGCCAUCUCAGGAGGGAUGCUGUGGAAGGAAAGAAAAAACAUGUCAAUGCUGGAAACUAAUGUGCAAACAAUUUCAAGACUUCAUUUCCAUAUUUUCUCUUGGUUCUGAAUGGAUAUCUUGAAAAUAACUCCACUUACGCAGUUUCAGACCAUCUUUAUAUUCAAUUAUUUAUUCAAUAAGUCCUGAUUGAGUGAUUUUGAGUAAAGUAUCAAUGUCUUUGGGGCUGGAGAUGCAGCAGCAAACGAAACAGUUGAAUUUCUCUGAAACACACACACUUUAUUAUUGAGGUGCUUUCUCUAUAUUCUGUCCAGGUAGCCUGAAACCCAGCAGACAAUGUAGCUGUUGCC